CCUUCGAUAGCUCAGCUGGUAGAGCAGAGGACUGUAGAUCCUUAGGUCGCUGGUUCGAUUCCGGCUCGAAGGA
Molecule: transfer RNA, 73 nt
Filed under: Loxodonta africana (African savanna elephant)
Lineage: Eukaryota; Metazoa; Chordata; Mammalia; Proboscidea; Elephantidae
Also listed under: 1 other name
Description: tRNA-Tyr (GTA) (tRNA-Tyr-GTA-6-1)
Rfam family: tRNA
About the family: Transfer RNA (tRNA) molecules are approximately 80 nucleotides in length. Their secondary structure includes four short double-helical elements and three loops (D, anti-codon, and T loops). Further hydrogen bonds mediate the characteristic L-shaped molecular structure. tRNAs have two regions of fundamental functional importance: the anti-codon, which is responsible for specific mRNA codon recognition, and the 3' end, to which the tRNAs corresponding amino acid is attached (by aminoacyl-tRNA synthetases). tRNAs cope with the degeneracy of the genetic code in two manners: having more than one tRNA (with a specific anti-codon) for a particular amino acid; and 'wobble' base-pairing, i.e. permitting non-standard base-pairing at the 3rd anti-codon position.
Source: RNAcentral